This 164-nucleotide ribosomal RNA is filed under the name Diabelia serrata. Its description in RNAcentral is "5.8S ribosomal RNA". It matches the Rfam family "5.8S ribosomal RNA". From Rfam's summary of the family: 5.8S ribosomal RNA (5.8S rRNA) is a component of the large subunit of the eukaryotic ribosome. It is transcribed by RNA polymerase I as part of the 45S precursor that also contains 18S and 28S rRNA. Functionally, it is thought that 5.8S rRNA may be involved in ribosome translocation. Lineage: Eukaryota; Viridiplantae; Streptophyta; Magnoliopsida; Dipsacales; Caprifoliaceae. The record is from RNAcentral.
AAAACGACUUUUCGCAAAGGAUAUCUCGGCUUUCGCAUUGAAGAAGAACGUAACGAAAUGCGAUUCUUGGUUUUAAUUGCAAAAUCCCGUGAACCAUCGAGUUUUUGAACGCAAGUUGCCCCCGAAACCAUUAGGCCGAGGGCCCCCCUGCCUGGGCGUCACAC